Non-coding RNA from Ciona intestinalis (vase tunicate), 703 nucleotides. NCBI's taxonomy places the organism in Eukaryota, Metazoa, Chordata, Ascidiacea, Phlebobranchia, Cionidae. The record is from RefSeq and is a predicted model, not a curated record.
AAAUUAAUCGCUGGUAAAUCAAGCUUUUUAUGGGCAAAUGUUAUUAGAAUUCACAGUUCUAUAAAUAUUCAUACAAACAAUUGGACACGGAAUUGUUUUAUGUAGUGGUAUAUACCGGAGUCUAUGCAUUUCCGUUAAAAACAUGCUUGAACAAUCAAGUUAGUACCAACACUGCCUAUAAUAGGUUAUACAGGCGUAAAGCGGGACAAUUUUUACUAGUCGUGAUAUUAUCAGCUAUUGCUUUACUUCACUCAACGAAAGCAGAUGGUUGUCGUAAAGGUUUUCAUUUUAAUGAAAGUUCUGUGAAAGAAGUCUUUGCUUGUAUAAACGUAAUAAAAGUUAUAAAGAUGAAAAAAAGGCCGAUAUCCUCUAUAUAAUGCACUUAAUAUCAGCAUAAUAUCAUUACAACUCUUAUACAAGCCACGAUGAAUAAGUCACUUCUUCUUUUGCUCGCUGUCGGACUUCUCGUCUUGAUCGAAACUGGGCAUGCUAUCCCAGUCGGCCGCCGUCGUCAGGGUUCCCCACCAUCACAAAGGACAGGAUGGGAUUGGAAUCAAAGAAACCAAAUGGUUUCAGUUGAAGACAUCCAAGCCGUAGCCGAUCUCCUGAACGCUGAGAUGCAAUAGAUGCACCGCAACUUUAUGUAUUAUUUAUAUAAACUGUAUAAUACACGUUUAUUUAAAUAAAUGCUGCAAGAAUCUAA